Molecule: ribosomal RNA, 497 nt
Filed under: uncultured bacterium
Lineage: Bacteria
Description: partial 16S ribosomal RNA
Rfam family: Bacterial small subunit ribosomal RNA
Source: RNAcentral
GACGAACGCUGGCGGCGUGCCUAAUACAUGCAAGUUGAGCGAUGAAGAUUGGUGCUUGCACCAAUUUGCAGAGCAGCGAACGGGUGAGUAACGCGUGGGGAAUCUGCCUUUGAGCGGGGGACAACAUUUGGAAACGAAUGCUAAUACCGCAUAACAACUUUAAACAUAAGUUUUAAGUUUGAAAGAUGCAAUUGCAUCACUCAAAGAUGAUCCCGCGUUGUAUUAGCUAGUUGGUGAGGUAAAGGCUCACCAAGGCGAUGAUACAUAGCCGACCUGAGAGGGUGAUCGGCCACAUUGGGACUGAGACACGGCCCAAACUCCUACGGGAGGCAGCAGUAGGGAAUCUUCGGAAAUGGACGAAAGUCUGACCGAGCAACGCCGCGUGAGUGAAGAAGGGUGUCGGAUCGUAAAACUCUGUUGGUAGAGAAGAACGUUGGUGAGAGUGGAAAGCUCAUCAAGUGACGGUAACUACCCAGAAAGGGACGGCUAACUACGUG